GUGAUCAGAGAGUAGGAGAAUGUUUAUAAGAGGAUUUUAUAUAUAUUGAAGAGAGGAACAGAGGUAUUAUGUCUUUAGUUUUAUCAAAAUAAUUGAAUUUUUGACGAUUAUGAAAUGCGCUGAUGGGUUUGUUUUUGUAUUUACAUAUGGCAAAAUUCAGAGACGACCACGGACUGAUGAGUCGCCUCAUCCCUCAGGAUACUUAAAUAUCAUCACAGGUAUAUUUCCCCUCGAUUUCAACUUUUCUAACUUAAAAAAAAAAAAUUAAAAAAAAUUAAGAACAAUUGAUUUUGAUAUAAAACUAUACAUAAAGAAGAAAAGAUUUUAUGUUUUUUCAUUUCCAUUUUCCUGAUUUACAACUAAAUAUCAAGGUUUUUAAAAUCAAAAAGUUUUAAUUUUAAUAAAUAAAUAUGAUUUUUUUUGGGUUUGAAUCUAAGUGUUAAAUUGUAAUACGUUGAAAACAAACUGGGCCGAGCAUCCAGUCCCUUUGUGGUCCGUCAGUGGUGUAUAAGUUCAACAUGUUAUCACGUAUUGUAAAAAAUUUAACGCUUAGGUUUAAGGUUUUUUAUAAUUUAAGUAAAGUUAUAACUUUAAAGUAAAUUUUUGAUUUUGAAAACUUUUAAAUUUUGAAAAGUUAUAACAUACUAAAUUUUUUUUAUUUUUAAAGAAUCUAAGUGUUAAGUUUAAAUAUGUUGAAAACAAACCGGACCUAGCAUCGAACUCUUUCAUACUAAUUUGUGUUAUUCAAUUAGAGUUGUUGAUGUUUUCCAAGCUACAUACUUAUAUAAUUAUUUAUUAGCGCCGCAUGAUAUUUUAAGUUUACAGGAUAUUUCCAUGUUU
RNAcentral lists this long non-coding RNA (840 nucleotides) under Capsella grandiflora. RNAcentral describes it as "long non-coding RNA (CGRA_LNC001578)". Lineage: Eukaryota; Viridiplantae; Streptophyta; Magnoliopsida; Brassicales; Brassicaceae. The record is from RNAcentral.